Molecule: long non-coding RNA, 253 nt
Organism: Bombus terrestris (buff-tailed bumblebee)
Lineage: Eukaryota; Metazoa; Arthropoda; Insecta; Hymenoptera; Apidae
Exons: 3
Source: RefSeq, a predicted model, not a curated record
UGUGUCCACUGUGUAUACGCGAGAAAUAUAUGAAUAGAGGAGGUUGGUCCAGAAGAAAUAAAAAGAAGUGAAAGAAGACAAUGCACAAAUAGCGUAUUUCUUGGCAAGGGAACUGUGAUUUAUUCGUAGGUAAGAACAUCCACGAAGACGGCACGGCAUCUCUACGUUCCCAUCGGCGAGCGUCAAAUUCGGGGGGUCGUGAUUGUCGUGAGAAUGAUCCAGAAGCAGUGCGUGUCAAGUUAUGCGUCGAAUG